Molecule: transfer RNA, 67 nt
Filed under: Chamaeleo chamaeleon recticrista
Lineage: Eukaryota; Metazoa; Chordata; Lepidosauria; Squamata; Chamaeleonidae
Description: tRNA-Ile
Source: RNAcentral
GGAAGCGUGCCCGAGAAUAGGGGCUACUUUGAUAGAGUAAAUACAGAGCAAUUAACCUCUCUCUUCC